This 714-nucleotide long non-coding RNA is filed under the name Nicotiana tabacum (common tobacco). Its description in RNAcentral is "long non-coding RNA (NTAB_LNC010054)". The record is from RNAcentral. Lineage: Eukaryota; Viridiplantae; Streptophyta; Magnoliopsida; Solanales; Solanaceae.
CCUUCUCUCACGCCAAUCACCACAGCCGGCGUUCCCUAGUUCCCCACUCGAGUUGUUGCUUCGCCGGAAUUGAUAACUGGCGAGUAACAACACCACUAGCAGCAGCGAAUCUGUAGAAUAAUGUUGCCAUUUGUGUUCAUGCGUAAAAAUAGUUCGACAUCCGUCUGGGUCUGACUAGCGGCCUCCAUUAACGUCGAUGAAGUUGCGUUUUGUUCCUCAUCGUUGAAAUCACACUCCGUCUGUUGGUUCCGUCGAGGUUCGAGUGUCGUCCGACGAGAUUCCGCUUCAUCGAGGUCCUGAAUUGUUGUCUCGUUUGCUCUUGGAUUCACAUACUGGAAAGGUCAACAAUUUGUUCAAGGUUAUCUUCUUCCUAUGUUCAUUUCGUUACUCCUACGUGAUUUAGUACUUCAUUUGUGAUAUAAGUUUAACAUGAAUUUUAAAUUUAUGUUUUGGUUAGUUCUUUGCAUAUGUAGUUUGAAUUAAUUUUCCCUUUUUGUCAUUGUUGCUAAAAUACAAUCAGAGUUCUAAUGAAAAGAAGUUAGACCAUGACGAUGAGUUGAAAUACACUGUGAGAGAUUGAAAUGCUGAAUCGAAGCAAUAUAGACUAUUUUUGGAUAAAUUGUGUUAAUUUAUGUUCUGGUUCAAAUCGUGACUGAUCAAGGGCAAGGAGUAUUCAUGUUUCCAUUGCACAAGUGUGAUUGCGAGAAAAAGGAG